Molecule: ribosomal RNA, 465 nt
Filed under: Vreelandella stevensii
Lineage: Bacteria; Pseudomonadati; Pseudomonadota; Gammaproteobacteria; Oceanospirillales; Halomonadaceae
Description: partial 16S ribosomal RNA
Rfam family: Bacterial small subunit ribosomal RNA
Source: RNAcentral
CCUACGGGGAGCUGCAGUGGGGAAUAUUGGACAAUGGGCGAAAGCCUGAUCCAGCCAUGCCGCGUGUGUGAAGAAGGCCUUCGGGUUGUAAAGCACUUUCAGUGGGGAAGAAAGCCUUGGGGCUAAUACCCUCGAGGAAGGACAUCACCCACAGAAGAAGCACCGGCUAACUCCGUGCCAGCAGCCGCGGUAAUACGGAGGGUGCGAGCGUUAAUCGGAAUUACUGGGCGUAAAGCGCGCGUAGGCGGUCUGAUAAGCCGGUUGUGAAAGCCCCGGGCUCAACCUGGGAACGACAUCCGGAACUGUCAGGCUAGAGUGCAGGAGAGGAAGGUAGAAUUCCCGGUGUAGCGGUGAAAUGCGUAGAGAUCGGGAGGAAUACCAGUGGCGAAGGCGGCCUUCUGGACUGACACUGACGCUGAGGUGCGAAAGCGUGGGUAGCAAACAGGAUUAGAUACCCGAGUAGUC